UGACGUCAAGUCAUCAUGCCCCUUAUGUCCUGGGCUGCACACGUGCUACAAUGGUCGGUACAAUGGGCUGCGAUGCGCGAGGCGGAGCGAAUCCCAUAAAACCGGCCCCAGUUCGGAUCGAAGGCUGCAACUCGCCUUCGUGAAGUCGGAGUUGCUAGUAAUCGCGGAUCAGCAUGCCGCGGUGAAUACGUUCCCGGGCCUU
This 202-nucleotide ribosomal RNA is filed under the name uncultured Coriobacteriaceae bacterium. Its description in RNAcentral is "partial 16S ribosomal RNA". It matches the Rfam family "Bacterial small subunit ribosomal RNA", at positions 1180 to 1382 of the family's 1533-position model. The record is from RNAcentral. Lineage: Bacteria; Bacillati; Actinomycetota; Coriobacteriia; Coriobacteriales; Coriobacteriaceae.